UUAGGAAUCUUCCCCAAUGGGCGCAAGCCUGAGGGAGCGACACUGCGUGAAGGACGAAGGUUUUCGGAUCGUAAACCUCUGAACCAGGGACGAAUAAUGACGGUACCUGGGUAAUAGCACCGGCUAACUCCGUGCCAGCAGCCGCGGUAAUACGGAGGGUGCGAGCGUUAUCCGGAAUCACUGGGCGUAAAGGGCACGUAGGCGGUCUUGUAAGUCCGAUGUUAAAGAGUGGGGCUCAACCCCAUCACGGCGUUGGAUACUGCAAGGCUUGACGACUGGAGAGGAAAGUAGAAUUACCAGUGUAGCGGUGAAAUGCGUAGAUACUGGUAGGAAUACCCAUUGCGAAGGCAGCUUUCUGGACAGUUUGUGACGCUGAGGUGCGAAAGUGUGGGGAGCAAACCGGAUUAGAUACCCGCGUAGUCC
RNAcentral lists this ribosomal RNA (423 nucleotides) under uncultured prokaryote. RNAcentral's name for it is "bacterial SSU rRNA". It matches the Rfam family "Bacterial small subunit ribosomal RNA", at positions 355 to 796 of the family's 1533-position model. The record is from RNAcentral.